Molecule: ribosomal RNA, 253 nt
Filed under: uncultured bacterium
Lineage: Bacteria
Description: partial 16S ribosomal RNA
Rfam family: Bacterial small subunit ribosomal RNA
Source: RNAcentral
UACGAAGGGGGCUAGCGUUGCUCGGAAUCACUGGGCGUAAAGGGCGCGUAGGCGGAUCUUUAAGUCAGGGGUGAAAUCCUGGAGCUCAACUCCAGAACUGCCUUUGAUACUGAGGAUCUUGAGUUCGGGAGAGGUGAGUGGAACUGCGAGUGUAGAGGUGAAAUUCGUAGAUAUUCGCAAGAACACCAGUGGCGAAGGCGGCUCACUGGCCCGAUACUGACGCUGAGGCACGAAAGCGUGGGGAGCAAACAGG